This 934-nucleotide long non-coding RNA is filed under the name Musa acuminata (dwarf banana). RNAcentral describes it as "long non-coding RNA (MACU_LNC006619)". The record is from RNAcentral. Lineage: Eukaryota; Viridiplantae; Streptophyta; Magnoliopsida; Zingiberales; Musaceae.
CUGAGUCCACAUAAUCUUUGCACUUUGAGCAGAUACGUACCAUGUUGCUCUGGGAUUGUUGCCUAUUAAUAAAUCAUACAGCAGUAUUUGAAUGCACUCCCACUGUGUCUCUGAGAAUUCCAUCCCUGCUCCAGAAGUAAAGAAUGAAUGAUGCUUUGCUCCAGAAGUAAAGAAUGAAUGAUGCUUUGCUCCAGAAGUAAAGAAUUCCAUGAUGGACAUCAUCUGGACGGCGAGUAAUUAAUUCCCUGAUUGGUCCCUGUUGUAGAAGAAAGCACCACCGGCCAGUAGAUCCUCAGCCUGUGUCUACCUGUAUCAUUUCACUGGCAAUGACAGUGAUGUAAGCUGGGUCAUUCAUUUCUUCUGACUGGAUUGAGAACACAGAGAGGACCAGCCAACCUGGAUCGCAGUGAGAGGGGGUGAUGAGCCAGGGAGGUUCUGUGGUGGGUUUGAUCUUUUAUGUUGCAGCACAAAAGGGCCAGUUGGCGUGCAGCACCGGUGGUACUUGUGAGAUUCACGUGACACGGUCUUUCUUUCUUUAGCAGGAAUUCCCCGGCCAUCUCCUGUUGUGAAGACUCGCACAUGAAAGGGGUCUGCCCUGGUGAGCAGAGAGAUGCGCAGAGUACGUACGUAGUUGUAGCUCCUAAGACUGUCUUGACCUGACUUGCCAUAGAUACUUUUUUUGAUGUGGGGUGAUUGGCUUUGGAUUCUCUUCGACCCAAGUGUCAGAGAAAAGACUUGUGAUGCAGUGAACUUGUCACAGGCUCGUUUUUAGGUUGGCCAGCCAUUGAUACUGGAGAACGUCGCUUUAUGUAUUGACACGGGGAAACCUGAAAGUAUCUCCGCCACACACACUAUCACGCACUAAGUACAUUUUAGACAUAAAUACUAAGGAUUAAUAAUAUGAUACGAGAUCCAUUUCAUUACAUCUCAAAAG